CAAGUUGGCCGGGUGAUCGCGGCUUGGGAAACCAGGUCGAGGAAAGUCCGCACUCCGUAGAGCACGGUGCCGGCUAACGGCCGGGCGGGGUGACCCGACGGAAAGUGCAACAGAGAGGUGCAUUGCCAAUCUGGGGUAAUACCUGGACGGGCGAGGGUGAAACGGUGGUGUAAGAGACCACCAGCAGCGACAGUAAUGGCGUUGGCUCGGCAAACCCCACCGGGAGCAAGGUCAAGCAGGAUGGAUGGCCGUGGUAUCACAGUCAGCGGAGUUGCUCGCUCCGUCAGACAUCCGGGUAGAUUGCUAGAGCGCAUCAGCGAUGGUGCGUCGAGAUGGAUGAUCACCUCCCGCUUUUGCGGGAACAGAAUGCGGCUUAUAGGCCAACUUGAUGG
Molecule: RNase P RNA, 392 nt
Filed under: Anaerolineae bacterium SG8_19
Lineage: Bacteria; Bacillati; Chloroflexota; Anaerolineae
Description: bacterial RNase P
Rfam family: Bacterial RNase P class A
About the family: Ribonuclease P (RNase P) is a ubiquitous endoribonuclease, found in archaea, bacteria and eukarya as well as chloroplasts and mitochondria. Its best characterised activity is the generation of mature 5'-ends of tRNAs by cleaving the 5'-leader elements of precursor-tRNAs.
Source: RNAcentral